AUACAUGUGAUAUAGAAAUUAAACAACAGAUCUAAUUCUGAAACAAGUUUAGAUUUAUCUGUAUUUUAAAAAAUAUUGUAGAGCAAUGAAAUAUAUUUUCUUAAUCUGACUUUUAAAGGAAUAUUUAAUUUAUGGUACUUUUUUCUGGUUAAUUUUAUCUUUUCCAUACCAAGUAAUAUAGGCAGUUGCAACAUCCAUGAAGAGUUGUUAAUUGGAGCACAAGGCAUCUGCAGUGUCAAAUCUACAGAGACAAGUGCACCUGGAGACAAAUGACCAGACUACCAUAAAACAGAAGCUUAAUUAUGUUCACUUACAUUUUCAAAUUAUUCCCAACAAAUUACCCUGUUUUUCCAGGCAGAAGAAGCAGAGUGAAGAGAGGACAUUCCAAAUAAAAUGAAUGGGUCCUUAUGUGACAGGUGUCAUACCCUAUACCUGGAAGAAGGAAUGCUGCAUAGAGAGGCCCGGAAGAAUCUGAAAAAACAGGCCUUACUGGGCUCCUUCAGUUUAUCACCAUUACAACACACCCUUUUUGUCCAAUCGUAUUUCUAUACAGCUGAUCCUGCAUUGAGUGCAAGCAAAAAACUGUCAAGUUUUCCCUGGAUCUUUGGGCUUUCAUUUCUGAAGUCUCCUGUGUCACGUAAAACUUUGUUAAAUAAAUUUGUUAUGCUUUUCUCU
Molecule: long non-coding RNA, 675 nt
Organism: Homo sapiens (human)
Lineage: Eukaryota; Metazoa; Chordata; Mammalia; Primates; Hominidae
Product: long intergenic non-protein coding RNA 446
Source: Ensembl